RNAcentral lists this ribosomal RNA (512 nucleotides) under uncultured bacterium. Its description in RNAcentral is "bacterial SSU rRNA". It matches the Rfam family "Bacterial small subunit ribosomal RNA", at positions 28 to 526 of the family's 1533-position model. The record is from RNAcentral.
GACGAACGCUGGCGGCGUGCCUAACACAUGCAAGUUGAGCGACGAACCAGGGCUUGCCCUGGGGCAAAGCAGCGAACGGGUGAGUAACACGUGGGUAACCUGCCCCGAUAACCGGGACAACCCGAGGAAACUCGGGCUAAUACCGGAUGUGCUCGCCGGACACGAGUCCGGUGCGUAAAGGAAGCUUCGGCCUCCGUAUCGGGAGGGGCCCGCGGCCCAUUAGUUAGUUGGUGAGGUAACGGCUCACCAAGACCGCGAUGGGUAGCUGGUCUGAGAGGACGAUCAGCCACACUGGGACUGAGACACGGCCCAGACUCCUACGGGAGGCAGCAGUGGGGAAUCUUGCGCAAUGCGCGAAAGCGUGACGCAGCAACGCCGCGUGAGGGAAGACGGCCUUCGGGUUGUAAACCUCUUUCAGGAGGGACGAAGGUGUGGCGGUGAACAGCCGUCCGCACUGACGGUACCUCCACAAGAAGCCCCGGCUAACUACGUGCCAGCCGCCGCAGUAAAAC